GGAGAGAGAGGGAGAGAGAGAGAGAAUCUUAUUAUUAUUAUUAUUAUUAGGGAAAACUUCAAAUAGUCCCAUUGUGGUUUUACUUUUUCUCAUUUUAGUAUCCUAUUGUUUAAGGAGUAUCAAGUUAGUAUCAUGUGGUUUUACACUUUUUCACUUUAGUACCCUGUGGUUUAAAAUGUAUCAAGUUAGUAUUGUGUGGUUUCGCAGUUUCUCACUUUAGCACCCUAUGGUUUCGUACUUUCUCAUUUUAAUACUCCGUGAUUUUUAAACCACAAGGUACUAACUUGAUACAAAAAUGAAAUCACAGAAUACUAACUUGAUACAAAAAUAAAAUUAUAGAGUACUAACUUGAUAUAUUUUAAACCACACGGUACUAAAAUGAGAAUUUACAAAACCACAGGUACUAACUUGAUACACUUUAAAUUGUCGAAUACUAAAAUAAAAAUUACGAAACUAUAAGGAUUUUUUUUUAAAAAAAGUUUUCCCUUAUUAUUAUGGAGAGGUGGGGGGCCAGAGACAGCAUGAUGGGGUGUCUGACGCGGGACUGCUCAUUUCCACGUGUCUUGGCGUGUACGGCCUCCGAUGCAUCAAAAAUGAAAGAGAGGGUACGGCCCCCUGAUCGCCGCAGAUCGCAAAAGUUAGGCGGAGCUGCUCCUACUGCUGCUGCCUGCUGCUACGCGCAAUCGCCUCUCUCUCUCUCUCUCUCUCUCUCUCUCUCUCUCCAUAGUCCAUCCUUCUCCCUCUGUGGCUGACUGUGGGGCCCCACAAAAAAAGAUUAAAAAAUAGAUUAAAAAAAUAAAAAUGAGGAAGGAGCCAGUGACGUCGCCCCACGCGUCCGGCGGAUAAGUCGUGCAGCGUUUUACGAGCUGUUACAUCCGUGACCCCGACCGCCGGCCCGACUCUUCCCUAAUCCUGUGCCAGAGUACUUGUACUGCCGGUCCUUCUCGGAGUUGAGAAGAUACCGGUGGAACCCAUCCCUCCUCCCAUUAACGCCGUCUCGCAUUUUGGGACCUCACUUGUUAGAAUAAUAAUAUUUCUACACAACUUAUUUUUUCCACUACCGUUCAUUAUUUUUAUUUAAUAAUUCAGAUUUUUUUAAAAAAAACAAAAAUUAUAAUCUGCCAUAAUAGAUAUUUUAAAAGAGACACUGAUUAUCAGGUACAGAACAAAAAAGUCAUUUUGGUCUUUUUAAUAUUGUGUGAAUAAUUUAGUAAUCUUAUCUUUACUACAAAAAAAUCAAAUCUCUAUUCUCUUUUUAUUUUCUUUUUCUCUCUCUAUUUUUCCUCUUCAUCAACAGUAGGGUAGGAUUCGGGACGGAUUUCCAAAAAUCCGAAUCCGAAUCCAAAUAUGAAAAAUUUUAAAAAAUCAUAUUCACAUCCGUACCUGACUAAAAGUCCAAAACCCGAAUCCUAAUCCGAACAUGAAAAUCCAAACCCGAAAUAUUUAUUUUUCCUUACAAUAUUUUAAAAUAAUAUUAAAUUAAAUCUAAAUUUAUAAAAUACAUAUUCAAAUAUAAUAUCAAAUAUUUACAUAUAUUAUAUAUAUCAAAAAAUAAAUUCGGGUUCGGAUCAGAUACAAUCAAAAUCCAUACCAUGAAUUUAAAUCCGUCGGAUUUUUCAUUUUUGAUAUCCAUAUUUAAAACUAUAUCCAUUUAGUAUAGAUAAAUCCACCGCAUUUGCUUUCAGAUUUGGAUUCAGAUUCAUAUAAAAUUAUUGAGAUCCGUUCCCAUUGACAUCCAUAAUCCACAAAUAUUUUGUUAUUUUAUAUCCGUAAUCUACAGAUAUUUCAUUAAAAAAAAUUACAAUAUAUUAAAUUCGUUGAAUUUAAAUUUUUUUUCCUACAUUCAAAAUUUUUUAAAGUUUGUGAUAAAAAGUUAAUAUCUUAACUAGAAGAAUUUAAAAGCUUCUUAAACAAACUAAAUAUGUUGAAUUCGUUAUUAUCAACAUUAAAUUUGUUAAAAUAAUAACACAAAAUUUUUCUUACUUAAAUAUCAAAUUUAAAUAUCAAAUAUUUAAAUUCAACAUAUUUGUUACCACUUUUAAAAUUUUUAAAAUUAAAAUUAAUGCCUAAAUUAGAAGAAUUCUAAAAUGCCUAAAAUUUGGGACAUCAAUCAAAUUUUAAUUUAAUAUUUAAAUUAGUUGCAAAAGAAAUGCUAAAUUUGGGAUAUUAAUCAAAACUUUUUUAAAAUUUUACCUGAACCUUCAUUAAUCAACGGUUAAGAUCUUUUUUAUUUUUUACAAAAUAAAAGUAUCAAAUCUUUUCUCCACUUGUUAGCCAUUGUAUGCCAUCUGCAAAAGAAUAAUAUAAUAAAAUUUUGUUUUUCUUUCCUUCGAAAUAGGAGAUUCGAAUAGAUUUUCCUACUUCGGACAAGGGCCCGCCGUGUUUCAUGCGGGCCCCUCCCAAUCAACGAGCUCUCCGAUUUUAGAGAGACGAUCACGACUCCUCUGCGAAUGGCUGUGAACACAUUCUGUCGGUAAUGAGCGAAGAAAUUGGUUCAUACGUAUAAAACUUACAUUCAAACUUCAAGAACACUACACUACUUGUGGACAAAAUCAGAACAAAGUAACUUGAAAUAUUUUCCACCCAGAUUGAAUUUGUUCCAAAUUUAAUCCUACCCUUUAUAAAGUGCUUCAACUAUGUAUAUUUUUUUCCCCAAUACUACCAUGUCGAAUUGGAUAAAACAUGUCCGCGCAUCUUUAGAUAAUCCUAAGCAAGCCCAACGCACAAAAAACAAAAAGAAAGAACAAAAGAAAAAAAAAAAGAAAAAAAGAACUUACCACAAAUGAGAGACUAAGUGGGAAUACCAUUAAUUAGGUAGGUGCAAGAGUCAAAGUGUGGACACUCAAUCAGGUACUAGGGCAAUAAUUCAUUAGAAUUCGUGUUUUAGGGUACGAGUUAGGUGCGAGAGAUGUACCAUUUUGCACAUCCUUUGAUUUGUUUAAUCGUUGCGGAGAUUACACUUUUUGACAAAGCUUAGCCAUAUGUGUGAAGCAGGUCCAGGAACUUUGUCACUUAAAAAAAUAAUUAAAAGAAAGCUUUUGCUAAUAUGUACAUAUAAUAAGCAACUUUGUUAAUCAUUAUGGUUGCUUCUUACUCGACGCGCGGUAGGUAGUGGUACUUUUGUUCCCGAACAUUUAAAAGCGAAAGUAACAAAUGUACUAAAAACUAUCACUACAGUAAAUAAAUAUUGUUUAUUAAUAUUUAUUCAUCGAGAUUUUUUUUUCCUCUGCCAAAAAAAAUAAUAUAAAAUAUAUCAAUUAUAUUACUGAUGUGGUGUCACCAAUCACCCGUCCUAUCAUGAUUAAUAAAAAAAUAUUUUUAUUUUACUCUUUACUCAAAAGUGAGAUGUAAUUGGCUGUUAAUAAAUAAUAUAAUGUGACUGAUACACAAUAGAAUCUCUUCUGCCAAAAUACUUGUGCGUCUUUGGUUUCACUUGCCUCUGGUUAUACUGAAAUACUUUUUUUAGAGAUAAACAGAGUAGUGUAAUUUUGCAUCGCUUUCAAUAAUGAAAAUUUUGAAUUGAUGAUGGACAUCAUCAAGCACGAUUUAAGUUAUUUGAAUAUUUUAGAAAAUAAAUUUUAUGAUUUUAAGAUAUCAUUUACUUAGUAAUCAAAUUGUCUCAAAUUCAUUUUCCAUAAAUUUCAACAGUGUCAAUCAUUGAUUCGAAUAAUCUAGCUAAAAAAAUAUGCAGAAGUAAAUAGCCUGAUUUAAUUCCAGAAAUAUUUUAGCCGAGAGAGAAAAAGUUAGGCUAAACAUUUCUUAGGUGUAAUUGAGGGAGUUUUCUUCCGCAUCAUUUCUGGCAAUAAAAAACUGAAUUGAUAAUCGGUACCAUAAAAUACAAAGUAAGGUAUUUAAACUUUUAAACUCCAUAAUAUUAGAAUAUCAUUUAAUAACAACUUAAAAAAAUUAUAUGUCUAGUGAGCAAGUAAUCUCAAAUUUACUGUAUAUUAGCCGUUGACAAUUAUUAAUUCUGAGGCAAUUUGAAUACUACGUAAAAAUAUUGGAAAAAUCAAAAAUUUGAAACAUGAGAAGUUUAGAUAGUUUAAAUCAAAUUUAACAGUCUGAAUCUCAUUGAAAGCACUGCAGAAGUUACAGCCUCAUUUACUUCUAGUCUCUAUAUAUAUUCUACUCUUAGUCCCUCUCUCUCUCUCUCUCUCUCUCUCUCUCUCUCUCUCUCUCUCUAUAUAUAUAUAUAUAUAUUUAUAAACUCCUAUACAAAAUAUGUCUUACACCACAAGCAUCCAAACUCCCAUCUUCUCUUUAUCCUCUUAUCAUUUUUUUUUCACACUAAAACUCAUUUGAAUUUUAGUGAAUCCCAAAACACAAAGAGCGUAAGAUUUACACCUAUCAGACAAUAUUUUCCAUAUUUGAAAAUCUAGUUAUAAAAAGCAAAUAAAUGAAAUAGGACAAAAGAAAAAAGUGGACGCAUGGUACGACAUGAAUAUUUAUGAAUACAUAAUCAACAAACUUUACGAGAACAAUUAUUAGAGAAUUGAUAUUUUUCAAAGAUAUUGUUCUGAUUUUACAUCUAGCAAUGAUUUAGACUCUCUUAUUUUGACAGCAUCAAAAUUAGUUGUGUAGAUAUCAAGUCCCAGAUGAUGAUUAACAUAUAAAAUGGAGCAUAACAAAUUUGAACAACUGGAAUAAGAUACACUGGGAGUUGUGAGAGUGCAAUUUCAAGGCGACUGCAGCGUGUGUUGACUUUUGCAAACGAAGAUCAAAUAAUGUUCGGGGCCCCAACUGGGCUGUCUCAAAAUAAGAGGCAAAUAACAGCUCCACGUAGCUCGCACAGUGCAGUCGCUGUACUUAACCACAAAAUGAAAAAGAUGUCACAUUCCUUAAACAUUAUGCAAUUUAUUUAACAAUCUACAAUUAUUUCACUCAAUCAUCCAGUGCUUUACUUUGUUAUUAAUAACUCUUUUCCUUUCUUUUCCUUUUUUUUGACAAUUUUAAAUAAGAGGGGUUAACUCAAUCAAUUGUCUGAUUGAAAAUUAUUAAAAAAUUAACAAAACUCAGAGAGUUAAGAAUGGAUGAUUGUUCAAAAAUUAUAUAUAUAAACUUAUUUUUAAAUAUAAAAAUAUAUAAACACCCUUCUCUAACAACUUAAACUUUUAAAUUACGACGGUUAUUUCACAUGGUAUCAAAAUAGGAGGCCAUGAAUUCAAGUUACGUCAGAGUCCUAAUAUUAUUAAUUUUAUUCUAUUUAAUUCAAAUCCACGUCAUGACCCUUGUAAAAAAAAGUCUGGAACCCAGACAUGAAAAAGAAUGUUAAAUAUAAAAAUUUAUAAAUACUGUUCUCUAAUAACUUAAGCUUUUAGACUACUGAGAAUACUAUAAUACACACACCCGAAAAUGUUAGUUUUGUAUGCUUGUUACAAUGUAGGCUUAAUAAUAAAAAUCUUCUCUGGAUUUCAUCCUGUAAAAAAAUUUGACAUUAAAAAUUACAUUAACUUUUGAUGAAAAAAACUAACGGUCCAUCCUACACUUUAGUCUUCUGCCAAAUGUAUCUAAAAUUUAAAAAUUACAUUAACUUUUGAUGAAAAAAACUAACGGUGAUGAUGUGGAAAAAUCAUUUGACAUUAAAAAUACAUAAUUCUCGCUUGUGAAUACUUUUUCCUAAUUUCUUUUGAAUUUCGAUAUUUGACCAUGCGUGCUUGAAAAAAUUUAAAUGGACUUAAAAAGAUGCUAUCUCAACAUGCAAUCGUUAAAGUUAACUAAAACACUUAAUAGAACAACCUAUUUGAUAUAGAAUUGAAUUAUUUAUGCAAAAAAAAUAUUUGAGAUACAUAGUAAAGUGCAAAAAGAAUUUACAUAAUUAAGUCUACAAUAUAAAAAUCUGAAUCAAAUCGUACAUAUGAUCCUAAAUUAAAGCAUUGUGCAUUUUCCAAAUCAAAACAUCACUCAAUUUACUGGGCAAAAAAUUUUGUGGGCAUCCGUUGUUUGGGGAUGAAGCGGCGCGUGGUUUGCAGGCGCCCAUUCCGCCGCCCAUUUUUCUCACCUGCUUCCUUUUCUCUCUCUCUCUCUCUCUAAAAAUUGGAGCUCACAAAUUUUUUCUUUUUCAUUUUCGAGGGUCAGGUGCAGGCGCCUGUAUAUGAAUAUUUCAAUAAAUUAUUUGAAAACGAUGCCUAUAAAAUUUUUGUGGCAAUUCACUCCAUGCAAGAGAUGAUCACACCGUCAUAAUAAAUAAAGGCCUAAUAAUGCUACUUUGGUGAUUUUAAAGGAUACAUCAUGCACACGAAUCUCGAGGAGCUAAGGAUCACGGGACACAGGUACAAAAGUACUCGCCCCAGAUCACACACCACUCACUCACUCCCCAAACUGAAGCCACAACUGUGACAAAAGUUGUAACUGAGGAGCGAGCCUACGAGGAGUCUUCUUCGUAGCCUACCCCCUUUCUAGAAUGCAAACAGGUAUAUUGAUGACGUGGUGUAACCAAUCAAUCAGAAAUUUUCUUUUAAAAAAUAUAUAUCUCAUCAUGAUUAUAAAAAAAUAUUUUUAUUAUAUUUUUGUUUGAAAAGAAGAAAAGUAAUUGACUUGUCAUUGAUAAUGUGAUACAAGUGUGAUAGUGUAGAAUUCCUCCUCCACCUGAGAGAUAAACCUGAGAGAUAAAGAUGUUUGCCUAAUUUUAGAUACGAAAGUGAAAUUCACCACCUUUUUUUUUUUUCCUUUUCUUCUUGUUUUUUCAAAAAAUAAAAAUAAAAUUAAAUUAACUAAAUCUCUUUAUGGUCCCCUUAUUGGCGUCCCAGCCCUCUUGCUGAGUCCAACUAUAUAUGAGGUUAUAUAUAUAUAUAUAUAUAUAAAACCAAAAUGAGUUCCCCUCCCAUGACAUGAGGAGCCAUUAGUUUUGCUCUCUCUCUCUCUCUCUCUCUCUUUAGACAAAGAGCGCGUCACCCUUCUCCUUCGUAUCAUCAGCUUCUGAUAGAGACCUCCUCCAGUCCUCCUCCUCCUCCUCCUCGUGAAUACGUGAGAAAGGAAAUGUAUCUCACAAGGCCCACAUUUGUAUUCUCCUCCUCAAGUGUGUGUACAAACAUAGAAAGAUUGAUUAGCAGCAGCAUGAGAAAUAGAGAGAGCUGAGAAAACCAUACAUAAGAAAGCGAAAGAUGAAGGCUUUUCUUUUCUUUCUCUUUCCUUUUUUUAUUUUAUUUUUUGCUGGGGGGCCGGGGGUGCAUGCUAAACCGGUAAUAGUAUGAUGAGAGAUUCUCCUUGAAAACGAAAAAGAAGAGAGGGGUAAAAAGGAAUUAUUACUGCACACAAACUAAUUAAUUCCUCAUACAAAUCUUUGUUGCCUCUCUCUCUCUCUCUCUCUCUCUCUCUCUCGCACACUCUCUUGUGGCCCUUGUUAAUUAAUCUGGACCCACAACAAGCUUCUAAAAAAACUCACCGGCGUAGAAAGAUAAUAAUUUAAAGGAAAAGAAAAGAAAAAAAAAAAAAAAAAAAAGAGAGAAAAGGAAAGGAAAAGAAGCGUGGAAGCUAGCUAGUAUUCUCCCACUGAUCAAAGAUAUUCUUAAACCACUCAAAAACUCUGCUUCUAAUAACUCAAUCGAGAAGGGAUCGAGAAAGAGAGAAUCGAUUUUUUUUCCUUUUUUUUUUUUGGUUUAAAAAAAGGGGGAGAUAUUAAUUAAUUUCUACCAUGCGAUAUAAACCUUCUUUCCUUUUUCUCUUGAAGUUUACUACUGUGAACUGGUUUGGUGAUCUUCUCGACUAUCCGCGCCUUGCUGCUGGCGAGCAUGGGAUUGCUGCUGCUGCUGCUGCUGCUGAUGUUGGUGGUGGUGGUGGUGGUGAUCCAACGGUUGAUGAUGGUGGUCGGAGUUCAUUCCCCGAUUAUAAGCGCCGAGAGCGGCGGCGGGGAGCAUCCCGAGGUUGGUGUCGGAGAUGCCGAGCCCCAGAUGCUGCGUCAUCGGCCCCAGGGCGCCGGUGCGGCCUCCGCCGCCCUGGAACUCCAACCCGCCGGAGAAGUUGAUCCUCGACAUGAACUGCAGCGGCGCCUGCACGCUGCUCCCGCCGCCGCCGCCGCCGCCGCCGCCCGCCGCGGCGGCCGCGCGGUACUGCCCGGCCGCCCCGGCCGGGAACGUCCAUAUGGAGGCCUCCGACGGCCCGGCGGCGGAGGGCGCGGCGGAGACGGGGAGCAUCCAGAAGGCCCCGCCCGGCGCAGCGCUGUUCGGGGCCACCGUCCACAUUGCCGCCGCGGAGACGACGCCGCCAGGGGGCCGCACUAGGCCAGCGGCGGCGUCGCCUCCGCCGGAUGCGGCGGUUCUCGACGACUUGGAGGCGGAGGACGGGGAAGAGGGGCCGGCGUCCUGGGGAGGGGUGUUCUGGGGCUCCUCCUUGAAGAGGUCCUCUCUGAAGCGUUUCCUCAAAUAGGUAUCGGACGAGGGCUCUCCUCCUCCCCCUCCCCCUCCCCCUCCCCCUGCGCUUUGCAAACCCUCGGUCAUCUGCUGCUCCGGGGAGAGCAGGUGGUGCUGGUGAUGGGGAUGGGGGUGGUGGUGGUGGUGGUGGGCGUGGAGCUGGUGGAAGCCGAGCAUGGCGGCGGCGGCGGCGGAGGGGUCGUGGGCGGCGAGGGCGAGGGCGUGGAAGGAGUGGGGCCGGGGGGGGGGAGGCGGAGGCGGAGGAGGAGGAGGAGGUGGAGAAGGAGGCGGGCGUGGUGCCGGUGCCGGUGGCGGCGAUGAUGGAGGGCUCGGCCUGGCGGAGCAGCCACUCGAUGGUCUCCCCGUCGGACUUGUGCCCCAGCUCCCGCGUCAGCUGGAACACCCGCGCCGCGCACACCGCCGGCAUCCGGAUCCUCCGCCCCCGCCCCUCCACCUUCGUGUGCCGAUCCUUCGACGACCUCUUCGUCGUCGUCGCUACGGCGGCGCCGGAGGACGAUGGAGAGGGGUCGGGGGCCUUCGCGUGGGGCGCCGGCGCCGACGAGGUGGAGAUGGCGAGGGACGGGUCCACGCGCCCGCCUCCGUGGGCGUGGAUGAGGGACCCCAUGAAAGAGGCCGCACCGCCGCCGCCGCCGCGGCUCUCGAAGGAGACGAGGUGGUGGUGGUGGUGCUGCUGCUGCUCCGACGUGCUUCUGCUGCUGUUCGUUCCUGUACUAUUACUACUAUUCGAAGGCCCGCCUCUUCCUCCGCCUCCUUGCUCUCUCUGGUCCAUCUCUUCUCUCCCGAUAAACCCAAUUUUUCUUUCUUUGAAAUAAUAAUAAUAGUAAUAGUAACAACAACAACAACAACAACAACAACCUUUCUUUCUUUCUUUCUUUCUUUUUAAUCUAUAGGGGUGCUCUAAUUAAAUUUCUUCAAUAAUUCCUCGUUAUGAUUUUUAUCCUACCAUGUUCUUCUUCUCUCCCAUCUCUCUAUUAGUUUACCCUGAAAACUCUUUUAAAAACCACCGAGAAAAAAAAAAAAAUAGAGAGAGAUAGAGAGAGAGAGAGAAUAGAAAGGAAGAGAUGGAGCACCUAGUUAGGGUUUUGGACUCGUCCCAGGGCACGUGCAGGGUCCGGGAUGCUUACUCCGCUGGGCACUGCGUGGGGCUCCUUUCUCUAUUCCCUGCUAAUUCAUUGACUAUUGUCUUCGUGCGCGCCCACCCCCCCCUCCCCUCCCCUCCCCUCUCCCCACCUCUCUCACUCACAAAUAUAAGAAAGAAACAUAGAGGAAGCGAAGAAGAAACGAGUACGAGAAGAAAACAACACAACCGAAGAGAAAGGGAUAGAGGAAAAACCAAAAGAGAGAAAGAGAGAGAGAGAGAGGUCGGUUUGGAUCCUAAACCCUAAUUAAAAAAUCCCUUCCUCACCUUUCGCCUCUAUCUCUCGCCCUUCUCUCUCUCACACUCUCUUUCAUUUUUUUUUUUUUUUCCCUUUUUUUUUUUUUUUUUUUUUUUUUUUUUUUUUUUUUUUUUUUUUUUUUUUUUUUUUUUUUUUUUUUUUUUUCCGGUCACUAGAAAAGCUUCCAUUACAUGGGCCUUCUCAAAGCUGUUAUAAGGCUUUCAAUGACCUCAUUGAAAGCAGCAGAUGCUAAGGAAGUCGCUUCCUCAGUCACAGCUAUUGCAAAUGAGAAGCUCAAGGCAGAGAAGGAAGCGAAUGCAGGAAAGAAGAAACAAGGUAAGGAUCCUUUGAGAGCAGGUCCUUGAACUUACAUUUAUUUGGAUGGAUGUUUGGAUGGAUCCCUCAACUAUCAUACUGGUUGAUAUNAAAAAAAAAAAAAAAACAAAGAAACACGCAGUUAAUAAUUUAGAAGGGAGAGGACUGCGACAAGUGGUCCUUAUCCGUUCGGUGAUGGGGAAUUUGAGGGGAGGAGAAACAGACCGUCACGGUAAUAGUAAAAUAUAAAGAACACAACGUCCGGGUAUUUAAGGCGCUUUUUGUUGUGUUUUAAUCUUCUUUCUUCUUUUUUUUAUUUUUAUUUAGCUGUGCCCUCCUCCAAGGUUGAGAAGUGCAUGGAAAGAUUCUUAUUUGCCUUCUCAAAAAACUUUAUAAUUUCUGAUAAUUAUUAAUACAUCUAGUUGGCUCACAUAUCUGAUCAAAACAGCAAUCAUAACUUGUGUAUUAUUAUUUAUAAUAAAGUCUAAGCUUUUGAAUAAGUUCGAGCGUUUUGGUAUGAUAUAAAAACUUGAUUCUCACUCUUCUUGCUUCUGUGUGAUCUGUUGGUUAGGAAUUGAGUCCAUAAAAUUUGUUUAACUGUAUUGUAUCUGUGUGUCAUGUUCUAGAAAUUAAUUUGUAUAAUUACAUAAAUCAAUAUUUACUAAUAUAUGAGAACACAUUUACCGUAUGUAGUACAGUUGGCUAAAACUUAAUAAUUGGUAUUCGAAAUCUCUAGUUUGAGUCUAGUUAAUUUAUAUUUCUAAAUGAAUGCAUUUUUGAAAAAUAAAUGAAAUAGCAAACUUGCUAUCUUUCUUUCUCUCAAAAGAAAAAAAAAUUUGUGAGGAAACAGGCACAAAUCAUUGCUCUCAAUGAUAUGCAAACAAAGGCUCUUAUUUCUAAGAGUUUAAGGAUAAUUAUAAAAGUCUUGAAAGGAAUAUAUACACAAAUACAUAUAUUUAUAUAUUUGGAGUAGGGAUGCAAGCGGAGCGAAUUGGGGGGCGAGAAGGUUCCCCCACCUCCUGCUCCAUUUUUUGUCGGAGCAGGGUGGAUUCGGGACGAUUUAUUUUUCAUUUGAUUUUUGGCUCUCACUUAUCAUUCCAUUCAAGGCGAAUCGAGAGGGGGGAGCUGAUUUUUGAUGGAUUUUUGAUGGAUCAAAGUGGAUUAAAGAAAGAAAAAAAUCUCUUACCUUCCGUCCUAUUUACUUGGCGAAUCGAAACAGAUUAUAUUUUUCUAUAUUAAUAUUUUAUUUCAACUUAUCGUUCCAUUUGAAACUGAUCGCGGCGGGAGCUCCUCCAACGCCGAUCCAUUUGCAUCUCUAAUUUGGAGUGCUAUAUAUGUGUAUGCACAACCCCCUUUUCUAAAAUUUUACCGCUUCUUCUCACCGCUACUACUAUUGCUCACUGUCCCCAGGUAAUUUGGGCAGCAGCAGCAGCAGCCAGACAGCGCAGGUGCGCGUCAGAUAAAAGCAUCUAAUGCUGAUGACAGCUCAUCCCAACAAUAUAAACAUCUCCCUCUUUCCUUCUCUCCCACCCCCACCCCCACCCCCACCCCCCAUUAAAUAAAAAAAAAGAAAAUUGUUUAAACAAACAAGUUACAUUAAUAAUUUAAAAAUAAAAAAGCAUUGUUCUUGUUAAUUAAUGUAGUGUAUAUAUAUCUAUAUAAAACAAUGCAUAAAACUGGUAGUGUACUGCUCCUGCCAGUCAACUCCAGCCUGGCCCACUCUCUCCAAAAGUUAAUAAUAAAAAAUAAAAAAACCGGCCCACUUUGCCUUCCCUCCGUCACCGAAAUCCCACCCAACCCCACAAACUUUAUCUUUUUUUCUUUUAGUUUCUUUUUUUCUCAAUCUCUCUCUCCAUCUUUAAUUUCCUUCCAGUAAAAGAUAUUUUGUGGAUUAAUAAUUCCGCAAGCCUUUACACUUUAUUCACGUCCCUUCCCCAUCUAAUCUUGAUCUUUCCAAUGAGGUCCCUCUUGUUUGGUACAAUUACUCUCGGACAAUUGUAGGGGUGACUACUAUUAAUUGUGGCCCAAUUAAUCAUCCUACUGUUGAAAGGCCCUCUGUCCAAUGGGCCCACAGAUAAUAUAGCACUUUUAAAAGCCCCCCCCCCUCUCUCUGCAAAUUAUUAUUAUUAUUUAAAUGGCGCACAGUUAUAACCACUGUCUCAAUUCCGUUCUGCUUUCGAAUAUCUCCUAGCUAAAGACGUGUAGGUAAUAUCAGAAGAAUCGCACAAAUAACAAAGGAGAGAAAUUGGUCCCGUGAUCUCUAAAAACAAAAGGAUUCAAGAUUGAUUCCGACAUCAUUUAUUUCAGUUAGAAAUUGAUUUGAUAGAAAAAAUAAUAUAGAAAUUGUCUUAACGGAGGAUGCGUAAGUCUUUGCACGUGGUCAAUCAAAUAAUUUUUCAUAUCACUUUCUUAAUCCCUUGGAAAUUUAUAAAGAUAUCAGAGAGGCUAAGACUAUCCUUUUGUUGACUCCAUUGGUCACGUUGUCAACCUUAUCAUGUACCCAUCUCUUUUUUUAUCUCCCCUUUUUUUUCUUUUUCUUUUUCCUUUUUCCUUUUUUUUUUUUUUUUUCCCCCCUCUUUAUUAGCCAUUUUCCCACCCUUAGAAUUAGUGGGGGCUCCAUCUGUACAACCACGCGCGUUGUGGGGUACUGUCGCACGACUCAGUUCGAACCAGCUUCUUAUUUAGCCCGAGUCACCUGACUCACGUGCGUUCAGUGUCUUGGGCUUGCCCAUCCCUUCUUUGUAUUUUAAUGUAUUUAUUUUUAUUAUUUAUAUUUUUGUACAUACGAGAUGCAUGCAUGUAAUAAUAGAAUAUUGCAUGCCACAGGUCCACCAGAAUGUUAAAUGUUAUAUAUUCUGUUAAUGUAUUAAUACUUAUAAUAAAAACAAAUUUAAUUGGUUCAUAUAUGCUAUCCAAGAGAACAGUAUAUAUAAUAUAUAAAAAUAACACUCUGAAUGGUAAGUCUUGUGUAUUAUUAGAAGCACGAAGGUCUUCGUGCUCCUAAGUUGUUUUGGAUGAUGGAGCUUUCGAACUGAUGAUCAACUCCGUUAGACUUGUUCUAGCGUAUUUGAAGUAUUUAGAAAAUGAAUUUUGCGAUUUUUCAAUAUCAUUUAUUUAGCGAUCAAAAGGGUUUAAAAUCAAUGGCUGAAAAUAAAAAUUUCACAAAAAAUGAUGAUAUAGCACUAAAAUUUUCGAUCAGAGAUAUUAUCUUGCUGUAAAUAGUAUAAAAAUUUUUUAUCAAAAUUUCAUCUGAUUUGAAUAUUUCUACACCGUUAAACUUGCAAGCGGUAUAAAUCAAUCAUUAAAAAUUAUUGAUUUUUAUCCCUUUUGAUUCUAGGCAAAUAAUAUCGAAAAAUCGCAAAAAUUAUUUUCUAGAUAUUUCAAACACGCUAGAUCAAGUCUAACGGAGCAUAUCGUCAAUUCAAAAACUCUAUCAUAAAAAACGGCUUAGGAGCACGAAAACUUCUGUACUCCCUUGCACACAAAAUCUACUCUCACUACAAGAAUUAGUAUUUUUAACGACCAAAUUUUAACGACAGUGAUUUUAAUCUACUCUCUCUCUCUCUAUAUCUAUAUAUAUAUACACCAAGACAUUAAACAUUCUAAAUGACCAAAUCAUUUCCCUAAUUAUAUUCAUGUUUGUACAUACAUUAUGUUUGAUUUAAUAUUUAUACAAGCUUAUAUAAAUAGAUAUGAAAGAUCAAGUUGGAUAACCAAUUAAGUUGAAUAUAAGUAAAGGAAGGUGUGUUAAUAUUAAAAAAAAGGAGGAUCAGGUCACCAAAGACAGAGGUAAUACUGUUUCCACAUCACCCCACAUUUGUUGGCUUUCUCUAUACCUGGAUUCCUGAUGAGUGAUAAUGACCUCUCCCUUGCCACCCACACCAUCCCAUCUCACUCAUUUUUUAAUAAUAAAUAAUCAUUUAAUAAUAAUUCACAAUCACUCUAAAAGAUUUUUUGUGGAUUAUUAAUUAUAUGUUUGUAGGAAGUAAGAUACAUCCGUAUCCUCCCAUUUUUAUUUUCCUUAUAAAAUCUUUCUGCUUGUUAAGGAUCUAACUUGGCAUCUCCAGUAGUACUAAAUAUUUGACCUUAUUUCUAAAGCAUAGUAUUUUUAGUUCUAAUAUAGCACCUAUAAAGUGGCUUUUUGUGCUACAUAAAUUUUGAUAAAUGUGUCGCAUCAUAAAUUAAGCAAACUCUUCUACAUUGGCGUACGUAUUAGACGCAAAAAAUUUUUACAAAUAAGUCUACAGUAGUUCAUAAAAAAAUUGAGCUGAAUAUAAUCCGACAUUAGCAUCAAAUUUUAACGUACAAUAUUGUUUAAGAACCUCUAUUUUAAAAAAUUAUUAUCAUUUUUCAUCCGGCUACUCCGACUACAUAUACGAAUCAAACAAAUUUUUUAUAUUUAUAAACAUCACUACAGCACAAUCUUUAACAAUAAAUUUUAAAAAACAACAGAAAUUUUUUUUUUUUGUUCUUGUUCUAUAAUUUUGUCCGUCUUUUAGGCAAAAGCUAUAACUGUUUAGAAAAGAAAGCGGCUGCAGCGCUUUCCCCACAACGCGAGGGAAAGCGGUGGUUAAUUUUCUUUUUUAAAGGGAGAAAAAAAAAAAAGGAAAAAGGAAAAAAAAGAAGAAAAAGAAAAAAAAGGCGAUAGAGUACUGCUGCUGCUGCUGCUGCUGCAUGGAAAAGCGCUUUUCCCUCUGUCGCGGCCCCGUACGUGCCGUCACCAGCCGCGUAGCACGUGCGUGCGAGUGAGUAUACGCCAUGGAUUUGAGAGCACUUUUAUUCCUGGAUAAAAUUUUACUGCGGUAAUAAUAAUUAUAUAAUGAUAAUAAUAAUAAUUACAAAACUACGUAACGUGGUUUAAUUAACCAAUUAUUAUUAUUAUUAUUAUUAUUAUUAUUAUAAUAUUAUACUCGGCGGUGGGGAACACAAAGCACCCGUAUCAUUCGUCUUCCGGAUGACGUGGAGAUUGAUUAUUGGGGACCAGUAUGUGGGACCCACGGGACGCGUCCAAUCGAUGUGGACCACCUUCUGAUUGGUAGGUGGGUUUGGAGGUUUUUUUUUUUAUUUUUUAAGGAAUUUUUAAGUGGUCCUUAAUAAGACAGGGGAGAAGUUAAGGUACGGCCCUAUAACGGGAUUGGUUAAUAAUGCCUUUCCCGUUUCAGAAGAAAAACCCGGUUCGCCACGUCAGCUCGUGAACCUCAUACUGCCACAUUUUCUUUUUUUUUAAAAAAAAAAAAUUUGUGGUGUGUUGAGACUCAUCGAUCUCACUUUAGUUAAGAAAAUUUGUAUUUUGUGAGAUGGAAUUGAACUGUAAAAUGAAAUAAAGAGUGUACCGUAGAUGGUGGACAAGUUAACACCCAUGGUGCAUUAGAUGAUAGUAUUUUUUUUUUUUCGUAUUUAAGCGUUAAUUUUUUUCUCAAGACUUUAAUUUUACUGUAAAAAAAAAAUAUACACGAAUUUUUAAAUAUAAGAUUCAUUUAAUGUUAAAAACCAUACAAUACUAUGGGUUGAAAAUAAAAAAAUACUAUCAUAGCAAAUAAAGAGUGUACCUUAGAUGGUGGACAAGUUAACACCCUGGUGCAUCAACCCAUAGUAUUUUUUUUUUUUUCGUAUUUAAGCGUUAAUUUUUUUCUCAAGACUUUAAUUUUACUGUAAAACAAAAUAUACACGAAUUUUUAAAUAUAAGAUUCAUUUAAUAUUAAAAACCAUACAAUACUAUGGGUUGAAAAUAAAAAAAUUGUUUUGUAGCAAAAAUACAUAAGUUAUAUUUUAAGCAAAGUGAUAUUAUAUGUCCGCAUAAUAUGUUAUGACUCACAAAAAUAAACAAAAUAUUUUUCUCAGACACUAACACUAAAUUCAACUCUAUAAGUGGGAGAAUUUAGCCAUAACACCAUGUGUAACAACAACAAUUGAUUAUAAAUAAUAAUAUUGAAAAAGCAAACUAAGAUAAUGCUAGGAGAAAAGGUGUGGGUCCACACUUGUGUGUUAAUAAUGAUUAGGGGCGGAGAAGCAUGUGCAUGCGUUCCCUCUUUUUUUUUUAAAUUUUUUUUUAUUUAACCACACGGUCCUUUUUAAUUUAUUAUUCUCUUAUAUAUAUAUAUAUAUAUUUCCUUUUUAUUUACCACACGAGAGCUAAAGCCACGAGGGUUGGGGUUGGGGUUGGGGUCGGGGCCCAGCGUCACCUGGAUUCAAUGCUCCCGCGCCCGUUUCAUCGAAUUUGGGUGGCAACGCGUGGUCUGGUUCUCGCCCGACAUUUAUGGCGCAUUUUUGCUAUUUUCGAGUCUCCAACUGCAUGGGCCGCGUGCAUAGAUAUAUAGGCCUAGGGCGGGUCCGGUAAAAUCAAACUGCACUCCACCGAAUUCGCGAGUUACGCCCGUACAGCUGAGCUCGACUUCACACUUGUCGCGAGUCGCAACCCUACGAGACAGAUUCACGUGCGUAGACGACGCAGACCCUGUGAAAGUUCGAGCUCCGCAAUUCCGUCCAAAUGCAGGUGGACUCACUGCUUGGAUAAAAUUUCGAGUCUCCAAAAUCUGGAGUUAAUUUUUUCCUUCUUACAACACUACUCGAAUUUAAUGCAUGUCGAUUUCUCAUGCAUGUUUCCUAUGCUACCAUUGAGCUAAUGGACUAGAUCGUACACAAUCCUAACUUUUGGUAAUUUAUAAGAUUAAUAUACUUUAUUUCCUUUUUUUUUAAUAUUUUGAAUUGAUGCGAAUACAGUGAAGGUUCGAAUACCCUGUAAAUUUACCCUCAAGUGCCGCUGAUGAGCUCAAAUAUGUAUUUCAUAAGAGUGCAAAAUAUAAAAAAGUUGAGCUACCAUAAUUUGCCUUGAGCAAUACUCUUUUACUGAUAAAGGCCAUCUUAGCAUUAUAUUUGGGGAGUUGGGUGGGCCAAAAUCUAAUCUUAAUGAGAAAAAGAAGAAUCUAGCACCCAAAGACAUAAUGAGGGAACUUUAGAUGGAAUGCAUGGAUAAAUGAUGGGCUGUUAUGUACCACAAAAGGGUGAUAAAUAUCAGUGCCACUGCAAUGGAGCUUAUUUUAUUAUUUCUCUUCUUAUUAUUCAUGGGCUUCAUCAUUGAACUUGAGGCUCCACUAAAUUUUUUUAUAGCACUAAAGUGCAGGACCAAACUAUACACACACAGAAGAUCAUGAUGCUUUGAUAUGUUUCUAUCAAUUACCCUAUCAUAUAUAUUGCACAAAGCAGAGAGAGAGAGAGGGGUAUCACAAUCACAAGCCUAGCCAAAAUUGAUAAAGCCACAAGGGGGCAGGUGAUGUUGACCAUAGAUAAGAAUAUUCAAGCUGCAUGGUGUGGGGAUUGGUGUUCUUAUUAAGGAGGCUGCACCCCCCCAAAAGGGUGUAUUGCACCCAUAUUGGUGAUGAUCACUGUUGUGGUGUGUCACAUUACAUCAAGGAAAAGAAGUAGAUAUGUAUAUAGCUGAUGACUGUAGGUGGAAACAGAUGGUAGGUGUUAGGGCCUGAUAUUGACCUAGCUAGGGGGUGCUGGUGGAACCCAGAAAAUAGUCAGUCCAAUUCAAAUCCAAAUCUAAAUCUAGCCUGAAAUGUGAUUUUCUUUUGUUUUUUUUGUAGGAUUCUGACAAUUUUUGUUCAGCAGUUUAUCAAACCUAGAUUUGGGUUAGGAUGAUAAAUAUAGAGCAUAUUUAGUGUCGAUGGCUGUCUAAUGCUAUUAGAUUAAAAUUAGUGAGGACGAAAACAUGUAAAAGAUAUUUCCCUAUUUUUGAAGAGGCCGCAGAAAUUAUAUUUAGUCGAACUUUUGUAUAUGUUGUGAGAUAUAUGCCUUACCACUUACAGAAAUAAAUAAAAAAUAUUUUCCCGACGCUUCCUUAGAAUGUGCAGUACGUAAGCUCUCCCUGCCUGCAACCCCAAAUGAAAUCAUAUUUAAUUAAUAUAAUUCAUUUAUCUAAAACUUGAUCAGGUAUAUUAAUUAGAAUUAUUAUUCAAAGUCGUGCUGAUGUAAAAGUCAUUAACAAAUUAAAAAUUAAAGUCUUAACUAACAAAUUAAAAAGUUGACUGCGCCAGGCCCCUAAUUCCUGAGCUCGAGGAGUCGACUCGCCUGCGAUUUCUCAAUCGUCGACUUGCAGCAGACUCAUGAAGAUAUGUUGAAGAUAUAAAAUAAAAAGAAUAUCAUCAUUUUUAGCUCAAAAAGUUUUACUUUGGUUUUUGAAUUUUCAAUUUUGAUGUUAGUGGUUUCUAAUUCUUAAAAAUGUUUUACUUCAAUGGUUAUAUAUAUAUAUUAACUAUUGAGGAUAAAUUAUUGUCUACACCUAGCUAAUGCAUCCAUACAUCAAUGCACCUUGCAUCAUCAAUAAUUUUUAAUUGCAUAUGUUUAAAGUAAGAUAUUUGGAUUGAAAGUACAAGAUAGAUGAAAAAGAAAGGAAUUCAUGAUCUAUGAAUAAACAAAUAAUUAAGUGAAAUCAAUAAUUUUUAAUCUAAGUUGAGGCUUAAAAUGAAACACUUUUAAAAAUCGAGAAACUAAAUUAAAAUCUUACCAAAAGUCCACGAUCUCGAACGCCAGUAUCAAAAGUUUGAGAACCAAAACAAAACUUUACUAAAAAUAUGGAGACUAGUACUGCAAUUUAUCUACUUUUGAGCACAUCGAAAAGUCUCGUGCCCAGACGUGGUUAAUUUAGUAUUUAGCUAUAGAUUUUGGAGAAGAUGACUCUUUGUUGCUUUUUCUUUUUUCUUUUUUAUUUGUGCCUCAUUUUUCACUAGGCCUAGGGUCUAAGUAGCCACACAUAUGUAUAUUUGUUUUCUGAAUAAUCUUUUUCCUACAACAAAAUGAUUAUGAUAUAUGUAUCUAGGACAACUCAAAAUUCUAUGUGGAUCGAUGUCAUGUUAAUGCGUUCAAAUUCCACCCUGUUUUUAUCAUUCCUUGUCUUCUGAGUUCGUUGGAUUUAGCUUUCAACACAUUCCUCACUUUGUUUGAUUCCACUAACAUUAAAAUCUCUUGCGGAUUUCGAGGGUUCUCUAAAUAUUCUGUGUGAUAUCUGUAGAAUGUCUGCCCCCAGUUAAGCCACACAUAGCAUCCAAAUUUGUGUUUGCUUGAGUUGUCCUUUUCAUAAAUAUAAGGUGCUAUUUUUGGACAUAAAUUUUAUAAUUUGUUGUAUUAUUUCUCUCAAGUUUAUAAGGACCCUUUAUCAUAUAAGGAAUUUAGAAAACAUAAGUUUAGGUAGUGUUUGGUUCGGGAACAAGGGGGGGAAUAGGCCCUUGUUCCCCCCUUUGUUCCCAAACGCAAUGUUUGGUUCCCGGGAACAGUAGUUCCCGGGAAUCUGGAACUAUCUGGAACUAGCUAGUAUAAGGCUGGAACUGCUGUUCCACCCGUUUCCUGGAACAAGCUUAUUCCUGGAUGAGAACAAGAUUAAUUAAAAUCUAAAUUUAAUUUUAAUGGCAGUAAAUUAUUAAUUAAUCUAAUUAAUAUAUUUAAAUUAUUAUUUAUUACUUUAAUAAUUAAAUAAUUUAAAUAAUUUAUUAUUUAUAAUUAAAUAUUAAUAAUUAGAUAAUUAUUAUUAUUAAUUUAUUAUUUAUAAUUAAUUAUAAAUAAUUAAUAAUAUUCAUUAUUUUUUUAUUAAUAAUUAUUAUUUAUUCUUAAUGACAAUCGAUAUUAUUAUUAAUUUAUUAUUUAUAAUUAAUUCUUAAUAAUUAAUAAUUAUUAUUAUUUAUUAUUAAUUAUUAAUAAUUUUUAUUCUUAAUAAUUAGAUAAUCGAUAUUAUUAUUAAUUUAUUAUUUAUAAUUAAUAAUAAUUAUUAUUUAUUAAUAAUUAUUAAUAAUUUUUAUUCUUAAUAAUUAGAUAAUCGAUAUUAUUAUUAAUUUAUUAUUUAUAAUUAAUAAUUAAUAAUUAAUAAUAAUUAUUAUUUAUUAAUAAUUAAUUAAUAAUUCUUAUUCUUAAUAAUUAGAUAAUGGAUAUUAUUAUUAAUUUAUUAUUUAUAAUUAAAUAAUAAUAAUUAUUAUUAUUUAUUAAUAAAUAUUAAUAUUAAUUAUUAUUAAUAAUUAGAUAAUCAAUAUUAUUAUUAAUUUAUUAUUUAUAAUUAAUUAAUAAGAAUAAUUAAUAAUUAUUAUUAUUUAUUAAAAAUUAAUAAUAAUUAUUAUUAUUAUUAAUUAGUUCAUCCAUAUUAUUAAUAUAUUAUUUAUAAUUAAUUAUUAAUAAUAAUUAUUAUUUAAAAUUAAUUAUUAAUAAUUAAAUUCUUAUUUAUUUUUAAGUAAUAUUUUUAUUACUAUUAAUUAUAUAAUAUAAUUUUAAUUUCAAAUUAUAACUCUUAUUCCUCUUGUUCCAAUCUAACCAUCCAAACACUAUUUGCCUUAUUCCUAGGAACAACCCAAUUUUCAUCCAAACACAAAAUUGGUCUAGUUCUUGCUUAUACCUGAACUUGUACCUAUCCCUAGAACUAGCAGUUCUUACUUAUACCCGAACCAAACGCAGCCUUAGAGUUUUCUCUUUUUUCCUCUCUCUUUGGUAAGAAAUUAAAAUGAGCUUUUGAAAGUUUUUCUUAGGAGAAUUAGUGCAAAAUCUAAAGUGCUUCGUCAAACAGCUCUAUUCAAUGAAGACAUUUAGAGAAGCUCAAAUCGGGCCGAAAGACCUUUAUUCAAUGUGUGAAACUAUUAAGUCAUCAUGGGCGAAAAACUCAACGUUACUGAAAUUCUUGAUUAGUUUCUAACAAGUUUCUGUUAGAUGUUUCGAAUUCUGGAACCGCGGGCUUUUCUAAUUAUAUAAAUCACUUCAGCUUGACCAAGUUCUUUUACCCCACUCUGAAAAAAUAGUUUUUAUCUGGAGAGCCAUAGGACCAGAGUGAUUGAUACUGUAGAAGCUUCCUCUCUCCAUUAAAUGGCACAUUUAUGUGUGGAAACUACCUUAUUUAAAGCUAUGCUUAUUUGGCAAUAGCGUAUAGUACCUAUCAUCUGUAAAUGUACGUCCUUUGAGCGCUUCAACUUAAAGCAAAAACCUUCUUUUAACUUCUAUUACUCUUAUCGACCGUCUCUAACGCAAGUGGCAAAGGGCUUGUGGUUGGUACCCGAGGUCCCUGAGUUCAAAUCCUAGUUGAUUCUAAUUUUCAGCUAAGUUUAUUUCUAAAUAAAAUAAACGAAGCUUUCUCAAAAAAAAGAAAAAAAAAAAAGAAAAAAAACUUCUAUUACUCCUAAACUAACCAGCGUAUGAAUAUAGGCUUCUAAUUAGCUUUCGUAUAUUCAUUUACAAUGUAACGCAUGCACUUUUGCUUUAUGCUUAAUCAAGUUUCUUACCUCUUAUAUUUUGAUAAUUGGUUUGUUAAGAAACUAAGAUAUUUCAUUGAAACUGAUCAAAUGAAAAUUUUAAGUUUCGGCCCGGUCAAUUGUCAAGUUUAAUUGAUCAGCUAAUCAUCUCCAGGUGAUCACAACAUUAAUUUUAUCCUUUUGCGACAGUGAUUUGCACUCUCAUUUUAACUAAGAAACAAACGCCAUAAUGAUAAUGCAUUCUUCCAGUACAAGUGCUACACAUUUAGCACUAGUCUUAUAUCUCAAGUCCUUCGCAACUUCGAAUCCGAAUAAGCUAUUGCGAAAUGAAUUUAAUAUGUGUUGGAGUUGAGAAUUUUAAUACCGGAUUCAGGAUAGAGCAUCAUAAUCACUCUUGUUUUUUUCUGUUUGAAAACUAACAUAGGAGUUCUCAUUUUAUAUGAGCAACAUACAUGUAUGGUUGGUUAAGGAAAUGUUAUAAGAAGGGUUGGAGAUGUGGUAGGUGAUACUCAACCUAGUUUGUCCAUAUAUUAAUAGGAUGUGUAGUGGUCCAAAAUCAAUUAGUGAAAGGAAUUGAAGGACCCAGAAAAAUUGUUUGUCCUUGUGUUUCCUGUGUAGUGUUAGGUCUUAGGAGGGAUCAGGAGCCAAGUAAUAUUGUCCCAAAGCAAUUCCAUGCAAAAAGUAUUAAUGAGAGAAAAAAAUCGAAAUUAAUGCGGGUCGAUCGAUCAGUUUGCCCGAUUCGUCAACCGCAAUGCUAAUUUCUGCUCAACAUGCGAAUCCGAUGAUUGGGUUUCUUGUAAGAAAAGUGUAUGUGUAACAAAAAUUAGGAUUUGCAUGUUGGAUUUUCAACUAGUUUAAUUUUAUUUCUUCAAGAAUAUAUAGCAUAUUUAAUUUGGCUGGCUGUUGAAAUAAAUAUUCAUUAAAACAGUAGUAUCUGAAUGCCAAGUCGAAGUUGCAUGUGAAAGAACAAGAUGUCGCUAACCCGACAUAUUAUCGGAUGAUUCUUACGUGCUUAUUUAUUACAUAUUUGGUGUUGUUAGAAGUCAGAUAUGACUAGUAAGAUCAAAUUCAUGUAGUAAUAAUAGCUAAGCCUAACACAGUAAUAUAUACAUCAACUAUGAAAGCCAAUACAUUUACGGAGCAACACAUAUCCUUCCAUUGUACACCAAUGUAUCAUGCUGUGACAUGUGCCAACCAUUGGUUAAAAAUGAAUGGACCAAGACUAAAAGAGAUGAAAAUUAUUCCACCUAUUCGAAAUGUUUCUAACUUGAUAUUGAGGAAUUUAAUAAGCUGUGUGUGAAUUCCAACUCAUCAAAGAAAAGGACAUAUAUAACCUAUUUUGGGGGUUCACUGAGCAUGUGCUUACCUGAGCCCUCCCUAGCAAAAUCUGGGACCAUAUCAUCAAGAUCCUUUUUUAACCACACCUAAUAUCGAAGAAGCACAAUAGAUAAAUUACGCAAGAAAACUGAGAGGAAAAAAGGGGAAAAAAAAAAAAUGUAUUCAUGGAAAACCAGCCACCCUUUUGUUCACACUGAAUACAUGCCAGGUUGGUAGUGAGCUAAUAAUGCCACAGUAAUCCACCUACCAUAUCAAUUGCUUAUCACAUCAUCAGAAUCUGAGGUAAGUGAAAAGGACAACAUAAGGAGAAAAGUAUGAAGAUUGAUUCUGUAGAGAGAUUUAGCAGUUUCAAGUGAUGUGAAUGUUACAUUUCCUAAGUAACCAGGCAUGGAAUAGAUGUGGUGGCCAUGGGAGUAGGUUGACAUGUAACAUUUCUACUAUGGUAGAAACUAGAAAGGGGAUUGACUAUUUAACCCAAAAAUUUGUCCAAAAUUCCAAAAAAUUAAUAAAAGAUAAGAAAAAAACAAAAAGAAGAAAUUACAGAGGAGCUUGGGUUCACUUCAUCUAUAAAGGCCCAUUACUUCUUCUCCUUCUCUAUCACUUACGACUGCGCGAGUGGCAGAGAUGGAUAGUGGCAGAAACAAGAAGCUGGUCUCAUGGUUCAUUGUUCUCUUCCUCUUCAUGCAAGUAAAUUCUCAAUGCCAUAGAGUUGAAUAACCACUUUGUUUAAGGUCAAAUUGCUAAUUGUUGACUUUAGUUUUUGCUCUUCUCACUACUAAUAAAUUUGCAUGCAGGUAGUUGCAGAGGCUUCCUUGCACAAUUUCAUUGGCCUCGAAGAUGUUAGUGAUCAAACGCCAUAUAAAUUUCCUUAAAUUUCUAAACUGAAUUAUUAUUAUAAUUGUUGUUAUUUUUUCCUGAGGGAAAAAAAGAAAAGUUACACACUUACAGAAUGACACAGGAAUAAGAAAUUUGCAAGUUUUACUUAAAAAGGAAAUUGCAAGUUUUAGAUGAGUAGGCCACUAGCAUCCUCAAAAAUCAAUUUGUUUUGUAAUUUUUAUGUAAAUGUAGCUUUAAAUUAGUGAUUUUUUGUGAGAAAAGGAAGGCGAAUAAAGAGGUUUUUUUUUAUUAUUAUUA
Molecule: long non-coding RNA, 23748 nt
Filed under: Ananas comosus (pineapple)
Lineage: Eukaryota; Viridiplantae; Streptophyta; Magnoliopsida; Poales; Bromeliaceae
Description: long non-coding RNA (ACOM_LNC025161)
Source: RNAcentral